RNAcentral lists this ribosomal RNA (254 nucleotides) under uncultured bacterium. Its description in RNAcentral is "partial 16S ribosomal RNA". It matches the Rfam family "Bacterial small subunit ribosomal RNA", at positions 524 to 776 of the family's 1533-position model. The record is from RNAcentral.
UACGUAGGGGGCGAGCGUUGUCCGAAGUUACUGGGCGUAAAGCGCGCGUAGGCGGGGGAUUAAGUGAGAGGUGAAAGGCUGGGGCUCAACCUCAUGCAGUGCCUCUCAUACUGGUUCUCUUGAGGGCGGUAGGGAGAAGUGGAAUGGCUGGUGUAGCGGUGAAAUGCGUAGAUAUGUGGAGGAACACCAGUGGCGAAGGCGACUCUUUGGUCUGUAACUGACGCUGAGGCGCGAAAGCGUGGGGAGCAAACAGG